This 497-nucleotide ribosomal RNA is filed under the name uncultured bacterium. RNAcentral's name for it is "partial 16S ribosomal RNA". It matches the Rfam family "Bacterial small subunit ribosomal RNA", at positions 28 to 507 of the family's 1533-position model. The record is from RNAcentral.
GAUGAACGCUGGCGGCGUGCCUAAUACAUGCAAGUCGAGCGAACAGACGAGGAGCUUGCUCCUCUGACGUUAGCGGCGGACGGGUGAGUAACACGUGGAUAACCUACCUAUAAGACUGGGAUAACUUCGGGAAACCGGAGCUAAUACCGGAUAAUAUAUUGAACCGCAUGGUUCAAUAGUGAAAGACGGUUUUGCUGUCACUUAUAGAUGGAUCCGCGCUGCAUUAGCUAGUUGGUAAGGUAACGGCUUACCAAGGCGACGAUGCGUAGCCGACCUGAGAGGGUGAUCGGCCACACUGGAACUGAGACACGGUCCGGACUCCUACGGGAGGCAGCAGUAGGGAAUCUUCCGCAAUGGGCGAAAGCCUGACGGAGCAACGCCGCGUGAGUGAUGAAGGUCUUCGGAUCGUAAAACUCUGUUAUUAGGGAAGAACAAAUGUGUAAGUAACUAUGCACGUCUUGACGGUACCUAAUCAGAAAGCCACGGCUAACUACGUG